This 1511-nucleotide long non-coding RNA is filed under the name Solanum tuberosum (potato). Its description in RNAcentral is "long non-coding RNA (STUB_LNC002625)". The record is from RNAcentral. Lineage: Eukaryota; Viridiplantae; Streptophyta; Magnoliopsida; Solanales; Solanaceae.
GUGUACAUACGUUGUGGUUCUAUAUUUAUGAAUUGAAGAGGGAAAUAACUUAUUUUUGGGCAUUGACAUUGAGAAGAAAUCUCAAGCUCCAUAGCUAGAUCUAGUUGACUUUGCAAUUUUAUAUUUAUGAGUGAGGAAAAUAACUUUGAACCUUGAAUCUAAUAACGAUUUUUUUUAGAGAAGAUUAGAAAUUCUAAAGGUUCAAGAUUUGAAAUGGAAGUUACCAUUGAAGAUCGUUCCCAAGCUUCAAGCUUUUUAAAUGGCAGAAGAAAGGAAGAAGAUGGAAGAUUUGUGGGAGAAAAAAAGCUUAGAAAUGCAAAUUGUAAUUGAAAGCCUUAAUUUUAGGUUGAUUUGGACUUACACGUGGAUUCCAAAAUGCAGAUAAUGUGUUUUAGAUACAUCCUUACGCGCCUAAGGGAGGUGAGAACACCUCCUAUGACAGGUCAGCGUUUAAGUGUGUAGAAAAUAGAGAAAUAUGAAGUUCAGGGGGGUAAUAGGACACCCGUGAAGUUGGAGUGUGUAGUUGGGAUUUCGGGUAUAGGUUGGGGAGGUUUUAGACCAUUUUCUCAAAUUGGAGACAGAGGUGCACUAUAUAUUAAAUUUUUAAUUCCUUGUGACGGCAGAUCAAAUAUAUAUCCAAUAAAAUUAAAUAAUUUGAUAUUAGCUACAGCUAUAAUAAUCAGUUGUCCAUAUGGUAUGAUAUGAUAUUUAUUUCAGAUGCAGUAGACCCCACUUUUUUUUAACUUAUUCUUUUAAUUAGGUUAAAAUUCUCAAUUUCAAACAUAACCAACAACAUGUCUACUCUUCAAUUGAAUAUCAACCUUUCUUCUUCUUCUACAUUAUUCUUAGCAAGUAAUGCAAGUCACAGUGACCCAAGAAUUGUUCUUUUCAAGAUUACUUGCUCCGCCACCCAAAUAAUUUUAACAAUGUCAUUUAUCAUGUGAUGUAAUCUUUUAAAAAAUAAAUAAAAUCGAUCUUUAAAUGAAAAAAUGGAUCUUGCAAAUUGGUAUUUUCUAAAUUAGUAAAUCUUCAAGUUCAGAUGUAAUGGUGAAGGAGUUGGAGGAAGGUGAAAAGAAUGGGUGUACAUACGUUGUGGUUCUAUAUUUAUGAAUUGAAGAGGGAAAUAACUUAUUUUUGGGCAUUGACAUUGAGAAGAAAUCUCAAGCUCCAUAGCUAGAUCUAGUUGACUUUGCAAUUUUAUAUUUAUGAGUGAGGAAAAUAACUUUGAACCUUGAAUCUAAUAACGAUUUUUUUUAGAGAAGAUUAGAAAUUCUAAAGGUUCAAGAUUUGAAAUGGAAGUUACCAUUGAAGAUCGUUCCCAAGCUUCAAGCUUUUUAAAUGGCAGAAGAAAGGAAGAAGAUGGAAGAUUUGUGGGAGAAAAAAAGCUUAGAAAUGCAAAUUGUAAUUGAAAGCCUUAAUUUUAGGUUGAUUUGGACUUACACGUGGAUUCCAAAAUGCAGAUAAUGUGUUUUAGAUACAUCCUUACGCGCCUAAGGGAGGUGAGAACACCU